This 477-nucleotide ribosomal RNA is filed under the name uncultured anaerobic ammonium-oxidizing bacterium. Its description in RNAcentral is "bacterial SSU rRNA". It matches the Rfam family "Bacterial small subunit ribosomal RNA", at positions 365 to 832 of the family's 1533-position model. The record is from RNAcentral.
UUCGCAAUGCCCGAAAGGGUGACGAAGCGACGCCGCGUGUGGGAAGAAGGCCUUCGGGUUGUAAACCACUGUCGGGAGUUAAGAAAUGCAAGGGUGCUAAUAGUAUCCUUGCUUGACUAAGGCUCCGGAGGAAGCCACGGCUAACUCUGUGCCAGCAGCCGCGGUAAUACAGAGGCGGCAAGCGUUGUUCGGAAUUAUUGGGCGUAAAGAGCACGUAGGCGGCUAUGUAAGUCGGUUGUGAAAGCCUUCCGCUCAACGGAAGAACAGCAUCCGAUACUGCAUGGCUUGAGUGCGGGAGGGGAGAGUGGAACUUCUGGUGGAGCGGUGAAAUGCGUAGAUAUCAGAAGGAACGCCGGCGGCGAAAGCGGCUCUCUGGCCCAUAACUGACGCUGAGUGUGCGAAAGCUAGGGGAGCAAACGGGAUUAGAUACCCCGGUAGUCCUAACCGUAAACGAUGGGCACUAAGUAGAGGGGUUUU